GGGAUUCAACGAAAUGGAGGCCAUGGCGUUGGCUUCUCUGUUCUGGAGACGCAGACGACAGCCAAUCGCCAAAACGGAAAGGUGACAGCGCUUGGAGCUGCGUAAACAGGUAUUACUCUCCUGUCCCCGUUUACCGUUCGCCUGCGUAGACGGCGUCUCUUGUACUCCUCUUGUGACCAUUCGCAUAUCUUCCGUCGCCGAAUUGGACUGCUCUCGGGGUCGACAUCGCCGCCUGCUUCUCUUCUUCCUCUUGCGGCUGCUUGCGGUCUCCUCUUCUCAGCGGUGAGUUCUCGUGCUCCGACAAUGCUGGACCGAUUCCCAUCUCUGCCUUGUAUGGUUAACGCGUAUUGUAACCCUAGCCGCCGUUCCGUGUUCAUGCCGCCCGCUUCCUCAAUCCAGAAACCCUAGCCGAAUUUUCUCUGCUCCUGUGCGGAUGGAUUUUCCACCGAGCAAAG
This 455-nucleotide long non-coding RNA is filed under the name Zea mays. RNAcentral describes it as "long non-coding RNA (ZMAY_LNC000093)". The record is from RNAcentral. Lineage: Eukaryota; Viridiplantae; Streptophyta; Magnoliopsida; Poales; Poaceae.